RNAcentral lists this ribosomal RNA (1261 nucleotides) under metagenome. Its description in RNAcentral is "bacterial LSU rRNA". It matches the Rfam family "Bacterial large subunit ribosomal RNA", at positions 1627 to 2925 of the family's 2925-position model. The record is from RNAcentral.
CUCGAGUAUAGCAGCCAGUACCGCAAACCGACACAGGUAGACGGGAUGAGUAUUCUAAGGCGCUCGGGUGAGCCGUGGAGAAGGAACUAGGCAAAUUGACGCUGUAACUUCGGGAUAAAGCGUACCGUCUUCGGACGGUCUCAGUAAAAUGGUUCAACCAACUGUUUAACAAAAACACAGGGCCCUGCAAAAUCGAAAGAUGACGUAUAGAGCCUGAUACCUGCCCGGUGCUGGAAGGUUAAGGAAGGGUGUUCGUCGCAAGACAAAGCUCCUGACUGAAGCCCCAGUAAACGGCGGCCGUAACAAUAACGGUCCUAAGGUAGCGAAAUUCCUUGUCGGGUAAAUUCCGACCUGCACGAAUGGUCUAAUGAGUUGAACGCUGUCUCCUCCACGAGCCCGGUGAAAUUGUAGUAUCGGUGAAGAUGCCGGUUACCCGCCACGGGACGGAAAGACCCCGUGAACCUUCACUACAACUUUGCAUUGAUUUUGAAUUACGGAUGUGUAGAAUAGUUGGGACGCUUUGAAGCAUUGCCGCCAGGUAGUGUGGAGCGGUCGUUGAAAUACCAACCUUCUUUGAUUUAGAGUCUAAUCCCUUGCGGGAAACAGUGCAUGGUGGGUAGUUUGACUGGGGUGGUCGCCUCCUAAAGAGUAACGGAGGCUUGCAAAGGUACCCUCAGUACGGUUGGUAAUCGUACGUAGAGCGCAUUAGUAUAAGGGUGCUUGACUGUGAGGCAUACAAGCCGAGCAGGGACGAAAGUCGGCUAAAGUGAUCCGGCGGUUCUGUAUGGAAGGGCCGUCGCUCAAAGGAUAAAAGGUACUCCGGAUAACAGGCUGAUCUCCCCCAAGAGCUCAUAUCGACGGGGAGGUUUGGCACCUCGAUGUCGGUUCGUCACAUCCUGGGGCUGGAGAAGGUCCCAAGGGUUCGGCUGUUCGCCGAUUAAAGUGGCACGUGAACUGGGUUCAGAACGUCGCAAGACAGUUCGGUCCCUAUCUGUGGUGGGCGCAAGUAAAUUGAGAGAACAUGACCUUAGUACGAGAGGACCGGGUCGUACGUACCGCUGGUGUAUCAGUUGUGCCGCCAGGUGCAAUGCUGAGUAGCUAUGUACGGACAGGAUAAACGCUGAAAGCAUCUAAGCGUGAAACCUAUCUCAAGAUGAAUUUACUUUUAAGGGUCGUCAGAGACUAUGACGUUGAUAGGCUAUAGGUGUAAAACUGGUAACAGUAAAGCCAAGUAGUACUAAUUGCCCGUACGCUUUAGUAA